UAAGGAAUAUUGGUCAAUGGACGCAAGUCUGAACCAGCCAUGCCGCGUGAAGGAUGACGGCCCUCUGGGUUGUAAACUUCUUUUAUCUGGGACGAAAAAAGGUCAUUCUUGAUCACUUGACGGUACCAGAGGAAUAAGCACCGGCUAACUCCGUGCCAGCAGCCGCGGUAAUACGGAGGGUGCAAGCGUUAUCCGGAUUUACUGGGUUUAAAGGGUGCGUAGGUGGGUCUGUAAGUCAGUGGUGAAAUCUCCGAGCUUAACUCGGAAACUGCCAUUGAUACUAUAGGUCUUGAAUUAUCUGGAGGUGAGCGGAAUAUGUCAUGUAGCGGUGAAAUGCUUAGAUAUGACAUAGAACACCAAUUGCGAAGGCAGCUCACUACGGAUCGAUUGACACUGAGGCACGAAAGCGUGGGGAUCAAACAGG
RNAcentral lists this ribosomal RNA (424 nucleotides) under uncultured Chitinophagaceae bacterium. RNAcentral describes it as "bacterial SSU rRNA". It matches the Rfam family "Bacterial small subunit ribosomal RNA", at positions 355 to 776 of the family's 1533-position model. The record is from RNAcentral. Lineage: Bacteria; Pseudomonadati; Bacteroidota; Chitinophagia; Chitinophagales; Chitinophagaceae.